GUGUAGUCCACCAUCAACACGUCGUCCCAAUUCUUGAACUUGGCCUUGAACACCUGCCGAGGGGACGUGGAGUGGGAAUUGGGCACAGGUGAGGUUACC
Ceratotherium simum simum (southern white rhinoceros) is the source of this 99-nucleotide non-coding RNA. Lineage: Eukaryota; Metazoa; Chordata; Mammalia; Perissodactyla; Rhinocerotidae. The record is from RefSeq and is a predicted model, not a curated record.